Non-coding RNA from Parasteatoda tepidariorum (common house spider), 73 nucleotides. Lineage: Eukaryota; Metazoa; Arthropoda; Arachnida; Araneae; Theridiidae. The record is from the annotation of a RefSeq genome assembly.
CCGUCGAUAGCUCAGUUGGCAGAGCGGUGGACUGUAGAUCCAUAGGUCGCUGGUUCGACUCCGGCUCGACGGA